RNAcentral lists this ribosomal RNA (497 nucleotides) under uncultured bacterium. RNAcentral describes it as "partial 16S ribosomal RNA". It matches the Rfam family "Bacterial small subunit ribosomal RNA", at positions 28 to 507 of the family's 1533-position model. The record is from RNAcentral.
GAUGAACGCUGGCGGCGUGCCUAAUACAUGCAAGUCGAGCGAACAGACGAGGAGCUUGCUCCUCUGACGUUAGCGGCGGACGGGUGAGUAACACGUGGAUAACCUACCUAUAAGACUGGGAUAACUUCGGGAAACCGGAGCUAAUACCGGAUAAUAUAUUGAACCGCAUGGUUCAAUAGUGAAAGACGGUUUUGCUGUCACUUAUAGAUGGAUCCGCGCCGCAUUAGCUAGUUGGUAAGGUAACGGCUUACCAAGGCAACGAUGCGUAGCCGACCUGAGAGGGUGAUCGGCCACACUGGAGCUGAGACACGGUCCAGACGCCUACGGGAGGCAGCAGUAGGGAAUCUGCCGCAGUGGGCGAAAGCCUGACGGAGCAACGCCGCGUGAGUGAUGAAGGUCUUCGGAUCGUAAAACUCUGUUAUUAGGGAAGAACAAAUGUGUAAGUAACCAUGCACGGCUUGACGGUACCUAAUAAGAAAGCCACGGCUAACUACGUG